GAUGAACGCUGGCGGCGUACUUAACACAUGCAAGUCGAACGGAAAGGCCCAAGCUUGCUUGGGUACUCGAGUGGCGAACGGGUGAGUAACACGUGGGUGAUCUGCCCUGCACUUCGGGAUAAGCCUGGGAAACUGGGUCUAAUACCGGAUAGGACCACAUUUUGGAUGGUGUGGUGGAAAGUUUUUCGGUGUGGGAUGAGCUCGCGGCCUAUCAGCUUGUUGGUGGGGUAAUGGCCUACCAAGGCGUCGACGGGUAGCCGGCCUGAGAGGGUGUACGGCCACAUUGGGACUGAGAUACGGCCCAGACUCCUACGGGAGGCAGCAGUGGGGAAUAUUGCACAAUGGGCGCAAGCCUGAUGCAGCGACGCCGCGUGGGGGAUGACGGCCUUCGGGUUGUAAACUCCUUUCGCUAGGGACGAAGCGCAAGUGACGGUACCUGGAGAAGAAGCACCGGCUAACUACGUG
RNAcentral lists this ribosomal RNA (465 nucleotides) under uncultured bacterium. RNAcentral describes it as "partial 16S ribosomal RNA". It matches the Rfam family "Bacterial small subunit ribosomal RNA", at positions 28 to 507 of the family's 1533-position model. The record is from RNAcentral.